This 700-nucleotide ribosomal RNA is filed under the name uncultured bacterium. RNAcentral describes it as "bacterial SSU rRNA". It matches the Rfam family "Bacterial small subunit ribosomal RNA", at positions 695 to 1396 of the family's 1533-position model. The record is from RNAcentral.
UAUUAGAAAGAAUACCAAAUGCGAAGGCAGCUUUCUGGAUCAUUACUGACACUGAGGAACGAAAGCAUGGGUAGCGAAGAGGAUUAGAUACCCUCGUAGUCCAUGCCGUAAACGAUGUGCGUUAGACGUUGGAAAUUUAUUUUCAGUGUCGCAGCGAAAGCGAUAAACACACCGCCUGGGGAGUACGACCGCAAGGUUAAUACUCAAAUGAAUUGACGGGGACCCGCACAAGUAGUGGAGCAUGUGGUUUAAUUCGAAGAUACGCGCAGAACCUUACCAACACUUGACAUGUUCGUCGCGACUCUAAGAGAUUAGAGUUUUCGGUUCGGCCGGACGAAACACAGGUGCUGCAUGGCUGUCGUCAGCUCGUGUCGUGAGAUGUUGGGUUAAGUCCCGCAACGAGCGCAACCCUCACUUUUAGUUGCCAUCAUUUAGUUGGGCACUCUGAAAGAACUGCCAGUGAUAAGCUGGAGGAAGGUGGGGAUGACGUCAAGUCCUCAUGGCCCUUACGUGUUGGGCUACACACGUGCUACAAUGGUAUCUACAACAGGAAGCAAGACUGCGAGGUCAAGCAAAUCCUUAAAAGAUACCUCAGUUCGGAUUGCACUCUGCAACUCGAGUGCAUGAAGCUGGAAUUACUAGUAAUCGUGGAUCAGCGUGCCACGGUGAAUGCGUUCCCGGGCCUUGUACACACCGCCCA